Molecule: non-coding RNA, 24 nt
Filed under: Mus musculus (house mouse)
Lineage: Eukaryota; Metazoa; Chordata; Mammalia; Rodentia; Muridae
Source: RNAcentral
UAUGGGAUCAAAUCUCACAGGAGC